CAUAGCGACUAUCGUGGCAUAUCAAUAAGCGGAGGAAAAGAAACUAACAAGGAUUCCCUUAGUAACGGCGAGUGAAGCGGGAAGAGCUCAAAUUUGAAAUCUUCAAGGUUUUACCUUGACGAAUUGUAGUUUAAAGAAGUGUUUUCUGUUGGAGUUUUGGUAAAAGUUCUUUGGAAUAGGACAUCAUAGAGGGUGAGAAUCCCGUAUUUGACCAUUAUUUCCAGCUGUGUGAUAGCACUUUCAAAGAGUCGGAUUGUUUGGGAAUGCAGUCCAAAAUGGGUGGUAAAUUUCAUCUAAAGCUAAAUAUUGGCGAGAGACCGAUAGCGAACAAGUACCGUGAGGGAAAGAUGAAAAGAACCUUGAAAAGAGAGUUAAACAGUACGUGAAAUUGUCAAAAGGGAAGCGUUUGACACCAGUGUUGUUUUCUCCGAAAAUCAAUUACGAAUGUUUUAUUUUUAAGGAGUUAUGACUUCAUCGGCUUGCUCCUUUCUUUAUGAAACUUUCUUAAUGCACUUUUCGGUUAACAAGUCAACAUCAAUUUCUUUUGUUGUAAAAGGGUAAGAGGAAGGUGGCUUUCUUUUCGGAGAAAGUGUUUAUAGCCUUGUACCUCUGCAAUCGGAGAGAUUGAGGUCUGCAGCGUAGAUCCUUCGGGGUUAGAUACAUUUGUGCUAAGUUAUAGCUUUUCAUAGACAACUUGUUGACUAUGUUAAGUCUUGUAGCUUACUCGCUUAUGCUAUUUUACCUACGCUUAGGAUGUUGAAGAUAUGCGCGACACG
This 776-nucleotide ribosomal RNA is filed under the name uncultured Neocallimastigales. Its description in RNAcentral is "partial large subunit ribosomal RNA". It matches the Rfam family "Eukaryotic large subunit ribosomal RNA", at positions 22 to 644 of the family's 3401-position model. The record is from RNAcentral. Lineage: Eukaryota; Fungi; Neocallimastigomycota; Neocallimastigomycetes; Neocallimastigales.